UACGUAGGGUGCAAGCGUUAAUCGGAAUUACUGGGCGUAAAGCGUGCGCAGGCGGUUUUGUAAGUCAGAUGUGAAAUCCCCGGGCUUAACCUGGGAACUGCGUUUGAAACUACAAGGCUAGAGUGUGACAGAGGGGGUGGAAUUCCACGUGUAGCAGUGAAAUGCGUAGAGAUGUGGAGGAACACCGAUGGCGAAGGCAGCCCCUGGGUUAACACUGACGCUCAGGCACGAAAGCGUGGGGAUCAAACAGG
Molecule: ribosomal RNA, 251 nt
Filed under: uncultured bacterium
Lineage: Bacteria
Description: partial 16S ribosomal RNA
Rfam family: Bacterial small subunit ribosomal RNA
Source: RNAcentral